UACGUAGGUGGCAAGCGUUGUCCGGAUUUAUUGGGCGUAAAGCGAGCGCAGGUGGUUUAUUAAGUCUGGUGUAAAAGGCAGUGGCUCAACCAUUGUAUGCAUUGGAAACUGGUAGACUUGAGUGCAGGAGAGGAGAGUGGAAUUCCAUGUGUAGCGGUGAAAUGCGUAGAUAUAUGGAGGAACACCGGUGGCGAAAGCGGCUCUCUGGCCUGUAACUGACACUGAGGCUCGAAAGCGUGGGGAGCAAACAGG
This 252-nucleotide ribosomal RNA is filed under the name uncultured bacterium. RNAcentral's name for it is "partial 16S ribosomal RNA". It matches the Rfam family "Bacterial small subunit ribosomal RNA", at positions 524 to 776 of the family's 1533-position model. The record is from RNAcentral.